GACGAACGCUGGCGGCGUGCUUAACACAUGCAAGUCGAGCGGUAAGGCCCUUUCGGGGGUACGACGAGCGGCGAACGGGUAGAGUAACACGUGGGUGACCUGCCCUCCAGCUCUGGGAGUAAGCCUCGGGAAACCGGGGUACUAAUAACUGGAUAUGACUCCAUGACGCAUGUUGUGGGGUGGAAAGCCUUGUGCGGCUGAGGAUGGG
RNAcentral lists this ribosomal RNA (208 nucleotides) under uncultured bacterium. Its description in RNAcentral is "partial 16S ribosomal RNA". It matches the Rfam family "Bacterial small subunit ribosomal RNA", at positions 28 to 229 of the family's 1533-position model. The record is from RNAcentral.